UAGCUGACAAUUAUUGUUUCCUAUUUGUAUUGAUGAAGUUCUUGCUACUGUAUUGCAGGAAGAGAGAGAAUCAUCCAUAAGUCCUGUCACCAUAUCGGCUGGCCACCGUCGUCAUGUGUGUUGCUUCUUCAUUUUCCAGUUCUGUUGUGCUGGAUUCUACUGCCGACUUUGUUGAUUGGCUACUACAAUUCUGAGUUUAGUCCUCAGCUUUUGUGUGUUCCCUGCACUUGUGUACUAUAAAUAGACAGGAAAAACACCUUUACCAGGCUCAUCCGUUGAACUAUAUGAUAAUGCA
This 295-nucleotide long non-coding RNA is filed under the name Setaria viridis. RNAcentral describes it as "long non-coding RNA (SVIR_LNC006257)". Lineage: Eukaryota; Viridiplantae; Streptophyta; Magnoliopsida; Poales; Poaceae. The record is from RNAcentral.